This 471-nucleotide ribosomal RNA is filed under the name uncultured organism. RNAcentral describes it as "partial 16S ribosomal RNA". It matches the Rfam family "Bacterial small subunit ribosomal RNA", at positions 334 to 797 of the family's 1533-position model. The record is from RNAcentral.
CACUCCUACGGGAGGCAGCAGUGGGGAAUAUUGCACAAUGGGCGCAAGCCUGAUGCAGCCAUGCCGCGUGUAUGAAGAAGGCCUUCGGGUUGUAAAGUACUUUCAGCGGGGAGGAAGGCGAUAAGGUUAAUAACCUUGUCGAUUGACGUUACCCGCAGAAGAAGCACCGGCUAACUCCGUGCCAGCAGCCGCGGUAAUACGGAGGGUGCAAGCGUUAAUCGGAAUUACUGGGCGUAAAGCGCACGCAGGCGGUCUGUCAAGUCGGAUGUGAAAUCCCCGGGCUCAACCUGGGAACUGCAUUCGAAACUGGCAGGCUAGAGUCUUGUAGAGGGGGGUAGAAUUCCAGGUGUAGCGGUGAAAUGCGUAGAGAUCUGGAGGAAUACCGGUGGCGAAGGCGGCCCCCUGGACAAAGACUGACGCUCAGGUGCGAAAGCGUGGGGAGCAAACAGGAUUAGAUACCCUAGUAGUCCC